GAUGAACGCUAGCUACAGGCUUAACACAUGCAAGUCGAGGGGAAACGAUAUUGGAAGCUUGCUUCUGAUAGGCGUCGACCGGCGCACGGGUGAGUAACGCGUAUCCAACCUGCCCAUCACUUGGGGAUAACCUUGCGAAAGUAAGACUAAUACCCAAUGACGUCUCUAGAAGACAUCUGAAGGAGAUUAAAGAUUUAUCGGUGAUGGAUGGGGAUGCGUCUGAUUAGCUUGUUGGCGGGGUAACGGCCCACCAAGGCGACGAUCAGUAGGGGUUCUGAGAGGAAGGUCCCCCACAUUGGAACUGAGACACGGUCCAAACUCCUACGGGAGGCAGCAGUGAGGAAUAUUGGUCAAUGGGCGAGAGCCUGAACCAGCCAAGUAGCGUGCAGGAUGACGGCCCUAUGGGUUGUAAACUGCUUUUAUAAGGGAAUAAAGUGAGUCUCGUGAGACUUUUUGCAUGUACCUUAUGAAUAAGGACCGGCUAAUUCCGUGCCAG
This 496-nucleotide ribosomal RNA is filed under the name uncultured bacterium. RNAcentral's name for it is "bacterial SSU rRNA". It matches the Rfam family "Bacterial small subunit ribosomal RNA", at positions 28 to 511 of the family's 1533-position model. The record is from RNAcentral.